RNAcentral lists this ribosomal RNA (421 nucleotides) under uncultured bacterium. Its description in RNAcentral is "bacterial SSU rRNA". It matches the Rfam family "Bacterial small subunit ribosomal RNA", at positions 355 to 774 of the family's 1533-position model. The record is from RNAcentral.
UAAGGAAUAUUGGUCAAUGGACGCAAGUCUGAACCAGCCGUGCCGCGUGAAGGAUGAAGGUCCUCUGGAUUGUAAACUUCUUUUAUCUGGGACGAAAACGGGAUUUUUAUCUCAAUUGACGGUACCAGAGGAAUAAGCACCGGCUAACUCCGUGCCAGCAGCCGCGGUAAUACGGAGGGUGCGAGCGUUAUCCGGAUUUACUGGGUUUACAGGGUGCGUAGGUGGGCUUAUAAGUCAGUGGUGAAAUCUCCGAGCUUAACUUGGAAACUGCCGUUGAUACUAUAGGUCUUGAAUUAUCUGGAGGUAAGCGGAAUAUGUCAUGUAGCGGUGAAAUGCUUAGAUAUGACAUAGAACACCAAUUGCGAAGGCAGCUUACUACAUAUAAAUUGACGCUGAGGCACGAAAGCGUGGGGAUCAAACA